This 428-nucleotide ribosomal RNA is filed under the name Bacteroidota bacterium. RNAcentral's name for it is "Bacteroidetes bacterium partial 16S ribosomal RNA". It matches the Rfam family "Bacterial small subunit ribosomal RNA", at positions 355 to 776 of the family's 1533-position model. The record is from RNAcentral. Lineage: Bacteria; Pseudomonadati; Bacteroidota.
UAGGGGAUCUUCCGCAAUGGACGCAAGUCUGACGGAGCAACGCCGCGUGAGUGAAGAAGGAUUUCGGUUCGUAAAACUCUGUUGUUAGAGAAGAACAGCGCAUAGAGUAACUGUUAUGCGUGUGACGGUAUCUAACCAGAAAGCCACGGCUAACUACGUGCCAGCAGCCGCGGUAAUACGUAGGUGGCAAGCGUUGUCCGGAUUUAUUGGGCGUAAAGCGAGCGCAGGCGGUUAGAAAAGUCUGAAGUGAAAGGCAGUGGCUCAACCAUUGUAGGCUUUGGAAACUGUUUAACUUGAGUGCAGAAGGGGAGAGUGGAAUUCCAUGUGUAGCGGUGAAAUGCGUAGAUAUAUGGAGGAACACCGGUGGCGAAAGCGGCUCUCUGGUCUGUAACUGACGCUGAGGCUCGAAAGCGUGGGGAGCGAACAGG